This 141-nucleotide ribosomal RNA is filed under the name uncultured bacterium. RNAcentral describes it as "partial 16S rRNA". It matches the Rfam family "Bacterial small subunit ribosomal RNA", at positions 355 to 511 of the family's 1533-position model. The record is from RNAcentral.
UGGGGAAUUUUCCGCAACGGGCGAAAGCCUGACGGAGCAAUGCCGCGUGGAGGUGGAAGGCCUACGGGUCGUCAACUUCUUUUCUCGGAGAAGAAACAAUGACGGUAUCUGAGGAAUAAGCAUCGGCUAACUCUGUGCUAG